GGAGAGACACACCAUCAAUCAAUUUAGUGGGUGUGUAUGGUCUAUUUACUAUGAUACUCCACAUAUCAUAGUCAAGUGCUUGAAUAAAAAUUCUCAUUCGAGCUUUCUAAUUGGUGUAGUUUAACCUAUUGAAAAGUCGAGGUCCAUUUGUGGAUUGCCCCUCAACUAGGGAUGUACCAAAUUGGGCUGCCAUAGACCUUUGGCUCUUGAUGGUUAAAUCAAGCAAGGACUAGAGCAUCGAGUUUUGAUACCACUUGUUGCCCAGAUAUGGAGCCAGGAGGGAGGUUGAAUUGGGUCUUCUAAAAAUUUUUAAGAUUAGUGCACUUAGGUAA
This 332-nucleotide long non-coding RNA is filed under the name Elaeis guineensis (African oil palm). RNAcentral's name for it is "long non-coding RNA (EGUI_LNC073130)". Lineage: Eukaryota; Viridiplantae; Streptophyta; Magnoliopsida; Arecales; Arecaceae. The record is from RNAcentral.